This 71-nucleotide transfer RNA is filed under the name Trichonephila clavata. RNAcentral describes it as "tRNA-Phe". It matches the Rfam family "tRNA". Rfam says of the family: Transfer RNA (tRNA) molecules are approximately 80 nucleotides in length. Their secondary structure includes four short double-helical elements and three loops (D, anti-codon, and T loops). The record is from RNAcentral. Lineage: Eukaryota; Metazoa; Arthropoda; Arachnida; Araneae; Nephilidae.
UGCCGAAUAGCUCAGUUGGAGAGCGUUAGACUGAAGAUCUAAAGGUCCCUGGUUCAUCCGGGUUUCGGCAG